GAGUUUGAUCUUGGCUCAGAUUGAACGCUGGCGGCAUGCCUUACACAUGCAAGUCGAACGGCAGCACGGGAGCUUGCUCCUGGUGGCGAGUGGCGAACGGGUGAGUAAUGCAUCGGAACGUAUCCUGGAGUGGGGGAUAACGUAGCGGAAGUUACGCUAAUACCGCAUAUUCUGUGAGCAGGAAAGCGGGGGACCUUCGGGCCUCGCGCUCUUGGAGCGGCCGAUGUCGGAUUAGCUAGUUGGUGAGGUAAAGGCUCACCAAGGCGACGAUCCGUAGCAGGUCUGAGAGGAUGAUCUGCCACACUGGAACUGAGACACGGUCCAGACUCCUACGGGAGGCAGCAGUGGGGAAUUUUGGACAAUGGGGGCAACCCUGAUCCAGCCAUGCCGCGUGAGUGAAGAAGGCCUCGGUU
Molecule: ribosomal RNA, 413 nt
Filed under: bacterium enrichment culture clone ALO1_GLFRUDD03FRKRW
Lineage: Bacteria
Description: bacterial SSU rRNA
Rfam family: Bacterial small subunit ribosomal RNA
Source: RNAcentral